GCUGGUGACUUUUUUCCUGCCAGCACCCAAGUCCUGUGUGACUUCACCAUCCACGCAGAGACAAGAGCUCAUCAGACCUACACAGAUCCCUGCCUUCGUCGAUCAACCUCUUCCUGCUGCUGCAACACCUUCUUCAUCAUCUCUCUCAAAGGUUCCCUUUUUAGUUCUCAGUGUCAGCAUUAGGGAAAG
Xiphophorus hellerii (green swordtail) is the source of this 189-nucleotide long non-coding RNA. RefSeq lists it as uncharacterized. Lineage: Eukaryota; Metazoa; Chordata; Actinopteri; Cyprinodontiformes; Poeciliidae. The record is from RefSeq and is a predicted model, not a curated record. The transcript has 3 exons.